AUGUUCUCUGUAGCUCUGCUGCUGCUGUUGGCAGCUGGAUGUGUAAAGUGUGAAACGCUGACUCAGCCAGCCUCUGUGACUGUGCAGCCAGGUCAACGUCUGACCAUCACCUGUCAGGUCUCUUAUUCUGUUGGUAGUGCUCCAACAGCUUGGAUCAGACAGCCUGCAGGGAAAGGACUGGAGUGGAUUAUCAGAGGAGGUGUUGGAUACAGCACACACAUCAAAGAUUCCCUAAAGAACAAGUUCAGUAUCAGUUUUGAUUCUUCCAGCAACACAGUGACUCUAAACGGACAGAAUGUGCAGCCUGAAGACACUGCUGUGUAUUACUGUGCCAGAGACAUGGCUCAUACCCCCAUCGGGAUCCUGACCGUCAUUCCUGAGGACAGACAGACCGCCCCUGACUCAUUGCACCUUGAGUCUUCAGUGUGCAAGGACGAAUAG
Centropristis striata (black sea bass) is the source of this 441-nucleotide non-coding RNA. The record is from the annotation of a RefSeq genome assembly. NCBI's taxonomy places the organism in Eukaryota, Metazoa, Chordata, Actinopteri, Perciformes, Serranidae.